UACGGAGGGUGCGAGCGUUGUCCGGAAUCACUGGGCGUAAAGGGCGCGUAGGCGGCCUGAUAAGUAGGGGGUGAAAUCCUGCGGCUUAACCGCAGGGCUGCCUUCUAAACUGUCAGGCUAGAGCACGGUAGAGGCAGAUGGAAUUCCCGGUGUAGCGGUGGAAUGCGUAGAGAUCGGGAAGAACAUCAGUGGCGAAGGCGGUCUGCUGGGCCGUUGCUGACGCUGAGGCGCGACAGCGUGGGGAGCGAACAGG
This 253-nucleotide ribosomal RNA is filed under the name uncultured bacterium. RNAcentral describes it as "partial 16S ribosomal RNA". It matches the Rfam family "Bacterial small subunit ribosomal RNA", at positions 524 to 776 of the family's 1533-position model. The record is from RNAcentral.